Monodelphis domestica (gray short-tailed opossum) is the source of this 3211-nucleotide non-coding RNA. The record is from RefSeq and is a predicted model, not a curated record. NCBI's taxonomy places the organism in Eukaryota, Metazoa, Chordata, Mammalia, Didelphimorphia, Didelphidae.
AUGAAACCUUAGAAUAGCUUCUCCUUCCAGUUUGGGACUUCCCUAGGGAGAAAAGGUUCAAGUUCUCUCUGAAGUCACACUGAGAUUCUGAACAGAGAAGAUGCUGGCCCAAGUCCGUCAGAAUGAGUGCUGAAAGAAGCAAUGGCUUGGGAUUUCUGAAACUGACUGAGGAAGGACAGAGGACUGCCAUUUCCUCUCCCCAUCUUCUUAACAAGGGCAGCUUUAUGUGAACAGGGCGCGCUAAUGCCUUCAUGCACGGUUCUGGCUAUAGUCAUUCAGUUGUGGGCGAUUCUUUGCGACCUUAUAGACCUUUUCACACUGAUAUUCUCCAUGAGGUUGUCUUGGUCCUGGACUGGUGUGCCAUUGCCUUCUUCAUUGGAUUAAGAUAAGAAAACUGAAGCCCAGAUACAACCUGCAUCACCCAUUUUCACCCAGCUUGUAAAUGAAAAGACCAGCACGACAAGUCAGACCUACAGACUCAGACUCCAGUGUUCUGCAUGCUACAUGUUUGUGUCCUCACUCUUAGUCAGCACUUAUGAGAAUGGACAGUUACCAUAGUCUGAAAUAAUUUAUUCAUGGUGAGCUGCUAACCAUCUGGGAAUCAGAUGGAAAUUGAUAAGGAUGCCUGGAGAAUGAGUCUAAAAGAAGUACAUCAUCAAGGAGUCAACUGGGCUACCCAUAGCAAAAACUGUGAAUCAGGUGCUUUAGCUGUGAUGCCCCAUCAGAGCCCUCAGAAGCCCUCUGGUGAGGUGAGGAUCCUCAUUAUGACAUUUCACCUGGACCUUCCCUCCCACUAAGCUGUUCUUGCUACCUACAUUUCCCUCUUCAAAAGUCACCAGUCCCAUUCUCUUUGCUUUAGCACCUUUUCCACGGUAUCAGGUCUAAUAAAAGAAUGCCAGCUGAAGCCUUUCCUGAUUGCCCCUCAUUCUAAUUCCUUCCCUUUAAAAAAAUCAAUCAUGCAUAUAGCUUGUUUAUAUGUGUUUGUCCUCUCCCCCAUUAGACUGUAAAAUCCUUGAGAGAAGGGACUGCCUUUUACUUUUCUUUGUAUCUCUAGAGUUUAGCACAUAGAAGGAACUUAAUAAAUGUUGUGUUUUUUUUUUUAAACUGGCUACUUAGAGGUUAGUGAAUAUACUAGCCACUCACUCUACCCUUUAACGUUCUCUGGGAAGAUAUGUUCCAUUUUUUCCUUUACAAAAAAUUAGCCUUCCUUUAUUUGCUUGGAGUCACAUUUUUAAAGCUGCUCACAAGAUUCUACUAUACUUCCUAUUCGCUGUGCUUCUCUCCUAUUUCUGUAGUCAUUUUCACUAAAAAAAUUCAGCACAGAACUUACGAGACAGAUUAAUUGCUUCUCUAAAAUGGAGCAGAUUGGCUUGGAUAAAAAUGACCUAGCAUCUUGGCUGGCAUUUUUUAGGAAGUUCUAUUUCAAGAGGAUUAAAUGGUACCUCAGAUCACCCCAUGAAACAAUAUGAGCACUACAGAAGGCAAAAUAACUGUCCAAAAAAGAUCUAGUUUUCAAGCCUAACCCAACAACGAUAAAGUAUUUGCACUGUCAAAUCACCCCACAGCACAUUUCUGACCCUAUAGUAUGGUGUCUUUUUUUUAAGCCUGCAACUGUUGAGCUCUCCUCAGCCCUUUAUUUCCAUCUGCCUGCUGACCCAUGCAGCUGCCUUAAUGUCUACUUCAGGGGAUGGCUUAGACCUGCAUUGCCAGCAGAAAGUAACACAAUGACAGCAGUUUCUGUGGGAAUGAAAAAAAGAGAGAGAGCAAAGGAGAACUUGGAAGCCCUGUCUUUCUCUGGACAGCUGAAAUUAAGAUAGAGAAAAGUCCCUAAAAAUCAUGCCCUAGAAAUUUUAGGCAGCCCACAUCUUUUGGGAGAGAAGACAAGUGAACUGGUCACCUAUUUUUGGACAGCUUCCUUUUCAGAAGAAGGGACAAGUUGUUUUAGGGCCACAAACGGGGAAUUAUCUGCAUAAAGAGACUCCAGGAGAUUCAUUGCAUAACUUAAUCACUUAAAAAUAAUUUGACCAAUGUUUCGCUGGAGUUCACUCAUAAUGAAUAAGCUUCCAUCAACUGUCUGAUCAAAAUUGUGUUCAUCUCAGUGGACACUGGAAGUCUAAUCGAGAUGGUAAUUAAUUCCUUCGAGAGUAUGGCUAUUUCCAGGCCAACAUUGAUCAGUAUCCUUCUGGCAGAUUAGAAACAUGAACUAUUUUCUGGUAUCAUUUCUUCAAAUGCACAUAUAAGCAGUCUUUUUGAGGCAAUCUAUAUCUACUUUAAACAUCUUCAUUAUAGACAAAAAUGAGACUGAAUGAAAUUAGGAAAAUGGCCAUCAUCCAGUAAAAUACUAGGUUGAAAGAAAAAAUAAGAAAUACGUGAAAACUGAAGGACACUUUAGUACUGAAACUUGAAUCAAGUUAGACUCAACAGAAUGUGGUACGCUAGACUUUUCAAAAAUGGCUUUAAGUAAGGUAACAUCCAUUAAUUCAGCAGACAUUUAUUAAGCAUGUGUAAUAUGCUGUUUUUUUUAUUAUUUUUAUUUUUUUUUAUUUUUUUUAAUUUUAUAGUAUUUUAUUUGUUCAUUUCCAUGCAUUUUUCAUUAAAGACAAAGAUCAUUUUCUUUUCCUCCCUCCCACCCCCCGUGGCCGACGUGUGAUUCCACUGGUAUCAUAUGUGUUCUUGACUUGAACCCAUUGCCAUGUUGUUAGUAUUUGCAUCAGAGUGUUCGCUCCGAGUCUUUCCUCUGUCAUGUCCCCUCAGCCAUUGUAGUCAGGCAGUUGCUUUUCCUUGGUGUUUCUACUCCCUCAGUUUGUCCUCUGCUUAUGGAUAGUGUUUUUUUCUCCUUGAUCCCUGCAGAUUGUGCAGGGACAUUACACCACCACUAAUGGAGAAGUCCAUUACGUUCGAUGAUACCACAGUGUGUUUGUCUCUGUGUACAAUGUUCUCCUGAUUCUGCUCCUCUCGCUCUGCAUUACUUCCUGGAGGUUGUUCCAGUUCACAUGGAAAUCCUCCACUUUAUUAUUCCUUUGAGCACAAUAGUAUUCCAUCACCAACAGAUACCACAAUUUGCUCAGCCAUUCCCCGAUGGAAGGGCAUCCCCUCAUUUUCCAAUUUUUGGCCACCACAAAGAGCGCAGCUAUGAAUAUUUUUGUACAAGUCUUUUUGUCCAUUAUCUCUUUGGGGUACAAACCCAGCAGUGGUAUGACUGGAUCAAAGG